AGUGUAAGUAGUCGCCAUGUUUCUGUCGCUAUCACUUUCUUGGGGGUGUCACUGAUCACUGGCUAUUGCGACUACCAGACGCUCUGGACACUUGGAACGCUCCUGAGUUUGCGGCUGGGUCCACUUCCUGAAUGAUACUAGGAUCCCCGCCUCUGGUUUCUUUUGGCUGCCCCCGAGCUACCUCAGUCUUUUUCAAUGUCAGGCGGUCCAAGUUCCCUGUGGUGAAAAUGGAGCCCAGUGAGUCGUGCCCAUGGCAGCGCACCUGGUUUUGCAGCCUGGGCAGGUCACAGGUGCAUCUUCCACGGGGAUUUGAGCCAGCGUGCACCCCCAUAGCGCGACUGAGAUUCCAAGUCACACCCAGGUUUUGGCCUCGCAAAUCCGCCUCUGCUCCCAGCUGGCACCUGAGUAUGCAGGUCGCAGCCCGCGAUUUAGAAACACCGGCACCCGGGUGAACGCCCACGGCUCCUCAGCUUUCGCUGCACCGACGUCUGCACCACGCCCGUCAAGCUCAGCUGCAUCCUGACUCUGGGUUGGAAACUUCGUGGUGGAUGAUGCCUGUAACUACCCAGAUGAAAUCAAGACGCAACAGCCCUCAUCGAGGGAUGCUCAGAGUCAAGGAAACUUUUCUUUUGAGCUACUGACAGCUUAACUCCUGUGAACAAAAUUUGGAGCAUAUUUGUUUCUCUCUGCCUGAUUUCUCCAAAAUUUGGAAACUAUUUGCUCCUAGGUGGAAGGAACUCACCUUGUCUUAAAUGAGACUUUGGACUAUGGACUUUUAAGUUUAUGCUGAAAUGAGUUAAGAAUUUGGGGGACUGUGGGGAAGGUAUGAUUGGUUUUAAAAUGUGAGAACAUGAAAUUUGGGAGGGGUUGGGGGCAGAAUGAUAUGGUUUGGCUGUGUCCCUACCCAAAUCUCAUCUUGAAUUGUAGCUCCCAUAAUUCCCGCCUGUCAUGGGAGGGAUGCAGUGGGAGGUAAUUAAAUCAUGGGGACGGGUCUUUCCCAUGCUGUUCUCAUGGUAGUGAAUAAAUCUCAAGAGUUCUGAUGGUUUUAUAAAUGAGAGUUCCCUUGCACAAGCUCUCUCUUUGCCUGCCACUAUGUAAGAUGUGGCUUUGCUCCUCCUUGCCUUCCUCCAUGAUUGUGAGGCCUCCUCAACCAGGUGAAACUGUGAGUCAAUUAAACCUCUUUCCUCUAUCAAUUACCCAGUCUUGAGUGUGUCUUUAUUGGCAGCAUGAGAGCAGACUAGUAUACUUUGUUUAUCUUAUAAUCAAG
RNAcentral lists this long non-coding RNA (1267 nucleotides) under Homo sapiens (human). RNAcentral describes it as "HSALNT0398254". Lineage: Eukaryota; Metazoa; Chordata; Mammalia; Primates; Hominidae. The record is from RNAcentral.